GUACAGCGUUAAGGAUUGAAACGGAAAUCCUUUUUGAGCCUUGUGGAGUUAGGCUAUUCAGGCUCAAAAAGAUUGCAGUGUAAAGCCUGACCGCAG
Molecule: small RNA, 96 nt
Filed under: Nonlabens sp. Hel1_33_55
Lineage: Bacteria; Pseudomonadati; Bacteroidota; Flavobacteriia; Flavobacteriales; Flavobacteriaceae
Description: Flavo-1 RNA
Rfam family: Flavo-1 RNA
Source: RNAcentral